RNAcentral lists this unclassified non-coding RNA (284 nucleotides) under uncultured bacterium. RNAcentral's name for it is "partial contains 16S ribosomal RNA and 16S-23S ribosomal RNA intergenic spacer region". It matches the Rfam family "Bacterial small subunit ribosomal RNA", at positions 72 to 358 of the family's 1533-position model. The record is from RNAcentral.
ACCCUUCGGGGUUAGCGGCGGACAGGUGAGUAACACGUGGGCGACCUACCUUGUAGAUGGGGAUAACAUCGAGAAAUCGGUGCUAAUACCGAAUAACACUUUUCUCCACAUGGAGGAAAGUUAAAAGUUGGCUUCUGCUAACACUACAAGAUGGGCCCGCGGCGCAUUAGCUAGUUGGUGAGGUAACGGCUCACCAAGGCGACAAUACGUAGCCGACCUGAGAGGGUGAUCUGCCACACUGGGACUGAGACACGGCCCACACUCCUACGGGAGGCAGCAGUGGG